Molecule: ribosomal RNA, 468 nt
Filed under: uncultured bacterium
Lineage: Bacteria
Description: partial 16S ribosomal RNA
Rfam family: Bacterial small subunit ribosomal RNA
Source: RNAcentral
GACGAACGCUGGCGGCGUGCUUAACACAUGCAAGUCGAACGGAAAGGCCCUGCUUUUGUGGGGUGCUCGAGUGGCGAACGGGUGAGUAACACGUGAGUAACCUGCCCUUGACUUUGGGAUAACUUCAGGAAACUGGGGCUAAUACCGGAUAGGAGCUCCUGCUGCAUGGUGGGGGUUGGAAGGUUUCGGCGGUUGGGGAUGGACUCGCGGCUUAUCAGCUUGUUGGUGGGGUAGUGGCUUACCAAGGCUUUGACGGGUAGCCGGCCUGAGAGGGUGACCGGCCACAUUGGGACUGAGAUACGGCCCAGACUCCUACGGGAGGCAGCAGUGGGGAAUAUUGCACAAUGGGCGGAAGCCUGAUGCAGCAACGCCGCGUGCGGGAUGACGGCCUUCGAGUUGUAAACCGCUUUCGCCUGUGACGAAGCGUGAGUGACGGUAAUGGGUAAAGAAGCACCGGCUAACUACGUG